This 464-nucleotide ribosomal RNA is filed under the name Vreelandella stevensii. RNAcentral's name for it is "partial 16S ribosomal RNA". It matches the Rfam family "Bacterial small subunit ribosomal RNA", at positions 338 to 795 of the family's 1533-position model. Lineage: Bacteria; Pseudomonadati; Pseudomonadota; Gammaproteobacteria; Oceanospirillales; Halomonadaceae. The record is from RNAcentral.
CCUACGGGGGGCUGCAGUGGGGAAUAUUGGACAAUGGGGGGAACCCUGAUCCAGCCAUGCCGCGUGUGUGAAGAAGGCCCUCGGGUUGUAAAGCACUUUCAGUGAGGAAGAACGCCUGGUGGUUAAUACCCAUCAGGAAAGACAUCACUCACAGAAGAAGCACCGGCUAACUCCGUGCCAGCAGCCGCGGUAAUACGGAGGGUGCGAGCGUUAAUCGGAAUUACUGGGCGUAAAGCGCGCGUAGGUGGCUUGAUAAGCCGGUUGUGAAAGCCCCGGGCUCAACCUGGGAACGGCAUCCGGAACUGUCAAGCUAGAGUGCAGGAGAGGAAGGUAGAAUUCCCGGUGUAGCGGUGAAUGCGUAGAGAUCGGGAGGAAUACCAGUGGCGAAGGCGGCCUUCUGGACUGACACUGACACUGAGGUGCGAAAGCGUGGGUAGCAAACAGGAUUAGAUACCCUGGUAGUC